GAUGAACGCUAGCUACAGGCUUAACACAUGCAAGUCGAGGGACCGGCGCACGGGUGAGUAACACGUAUCCAACCUGCCCUUUACUCGGGGAUAGCCUUUCGAAAGAAAGAUUAAUACCCGAUGUAAAGGAUGGGGAUGCGUUCCAUUAGGUUGUUGGUGAGGGAACGGCUAACCAAGCCUUCGAUGGAUAGGGGUUCUGAGAGCAAGGUCCCCCACAUUGGAACUGAGACACGGGCCAAACUCCUACGGGGGGCAGCAGUGAGGAAUAUUGGUGAAGGGGCGUUAGCCUGACCCAGCCACGUAGCGUGAAGGAUGAAGGCUUAUGGGUCUUAAACUUCUUUUAUAUAAGAAUAGGUAUUAGAUGAAUAAGGAUCGGCUAACUCCGUGCCAGCCGCCGCGGUAAUUC
Molecule: ribosomal RNA, 406 nt
Filed under: uncultured bacterium
Lineage: Bacteria
Description: partial 16S ribosomal RNA
Rfam family: Bacterial small subunit ribosomal RNA
Source: RNAcentral